CCCUUAGACGUCCGGGGCUGCACGCGCGCUACACUGACUGGCUCAGCGUGUGCCUACCCUCCGCCGGCAGGCGCGGGUAACCCGUUGAACCCCAUUCGUGAUGGGGAUCGGGGAUUGCAAUUAUUCCCCAUGAACGAGGAAUUCCCAGUAAGUGCGGGUCAUAAGCUUGCGUUGAUUAAGUCCCUGCCCUUUGUACACACCGCCCGUCGCUACUACCGAUUGGAUGGUUUAGUGAGGCCCUCGGAUCGGCCCCGCCGGGGUCGGCCCACGGCCCUGGCGGAGCGCUGAGAAGACGGUCGAACUUGACUAUCUAGAGGAAGUAAAAGUCGUAACA
This 334-nucleotide ribosomal RNA is filed under the name uncultured eukaryote. RNAcentral describes it as "partial 18S ribosomal RNA". It matches the Rfam family "Eukaryotic small subunit ribosomal RNA", at positions 1470 to 1796 of the family's 1831-position model. The record is from RNAcentral.